GACGAACGCUGGCGGCGUGCUUAACACAUGCAAGUCGGACGGUCGGCACUGGAAGGUUCGCUGGAAGGUGCCGGUAGUGGCGGACGGGUGAGUAACGCGUGAGGACAUGGCUCCAGGAGGGGGAUAACGUUUGGAAACGGACGCUAAGACCCCAUAUGCCGGAAGGUGAAAAAUGGUGCAAGCCAGCCUGGAGAGUGACUCGCGUCCUAUCAGCUAGUUGGUGGGGUGAAGGCCUACCAAGGCGAUGACGGGUAGCCGACCUGAGAGGGUGGCCGGCCACACUGGAACUGAGAUACGGUCCAGACUCCUACGGGAGGCAGCAGUGGGGAAUAUUGGGCAAUGGGCGCAAGCCUGACCCAGCGACGCCGCGUGGGGGGAAGAAGUCUUUCGGGAUGUAAACCCUUGUUGUACGGGACGAAACGAAUGACGGUACCGUACGAGGAAGCCCCGGCAAACUACGUGCCAGCAGCCGCGGUAAUGUCUGUACU
RNAcentral lists this ribosomal RNA (488 nucleotides) under uncultured bacterium. RNAcentral's name for it is "bacterial SSU rRNA". It matches the Rfam family "Bacterial small subunit ribosomal RNA", at positions 28 to 531 of the family's 1533-position model. The record is from RNAcentral.